CAUCCCUGUGGUCACCAGGGGCUCCUGCUGGGGACCUGUCCUGCUGUGGAUGGGCAGAUCUGUUCAAGACACACAGAAGAGGGAAGGUACAUGACAAAAUCACUGUGGUAACAGACCUGAGGCAGCUGGAUGUUUCAGUGGAAAUCUGGGCUCGAAUCCUUGUUUCCCAGUCUGAUGAUGCAGAGGACUGUGCAGCAGAAAUGAGGAAAAUCAGUCUCCUUCCAGAAACCCAGGGCAUCUCCUCUCCCCACUGUGAGCCACCUGCAUCACCUCAGGGUGGCUCUUGAGCAGGGUUUGUACGUGAGCAGUAGGAUAAGGUGGCUUUCCCACGCUGCAGCAGCUACUCCCAGCUUUCUGGCUCCAUCUUCUGGAAAUGAGACAAAGUAGAGAUUUCUCAAAGCCUGAGAUUGUACAAUCAGUUUAUAACAAUGCCCUGCAAAUGUGGG
RNAcentral lists this long non-coding RNA (446 nucleotides) under Parus major (Great Tit). RNAcentral describes it as "lncRNA (ENSPMJG00000009623.1)". Lineage: Eukaryota; Metazoa; Chordata; Aves; Passeriformes; Paridae. The record is from RNAcentral.